GACGAACGCUGGCGGCGUGCCUAAUACAUGCAAGUAGAACGCUGAAGAGAGGAGCUUGCUCUUCUUGGAUGAGUUGCGAACGGGUGAGUAACGCGUAGGUAACCUGCCUUGUAGCGGGGGAUAACUAUUGGAAACGAUAGCUAAUACCGCAUAACAAUGGAUGACACAUGUCAUUUAUUUGAAAGGGGCAAUUGUUCCACUACAAGAUGGACCUGCGUUGUAUUAGCUAGUAGGUGAGGUAAUGGCUCACCUAGGCGACGAUACAUAGCCGACCUGAGAGGGUGAGCGGCCACACUGGGACUGAGACACGGCCCAGACUACUACGGGAGGCAGCAGUAGGGAAUCUCCGGCGAUGGGGGCAACGGUGAACGAGCAACGACGCGUGAGUGACGAAGGUUUUCGGAUCGUAAAGAUCUGUUGUGAGUCAAGAAUGGGUGUGAGUGUGGCAAGUGCACACUGUGACGGUAGCUGACCAGAAAGGGACGGCUAACUACGUG
RNAcentral lists this ribosomal RNA (497 nucleotides) under uncultured bacterium. RNAcentral's name for it is "partial 16S ribosomal RNA". It matches the Rfam family "Bacterial small subunit ribosomal RNA", at positions 28 to 507 of the family's 1533-position model. The record is from RNAcentral.